GUACACGCUGUGACUAGCAUAUCAAUAAGCGGAGGAAAAGAAACUAACAAGGAUUCCCUCAGUAACGGCGAGUGAAGCGGGAAGAGCUCAAAUUUGAAAUCUUGAAAGGUCACCUUUCACGAAUUGUAGUUUAAAGAAGUGUUUUCUGUUACGAUCGUAAUAUAAGUUCUUUGGAAUAGGACAUCACAGAGGGUGAGAAUCCCGUCUAUGAUUGCGAUUUGUAGCUUUGUGAUACACUUUCAAAGAGUCGGGUUGUUUGGGAAUGCAGCCCAAAACGGGAGGUAAAUUUCUUCUAAGGCUAAAUAUUGGCGAGAGACCGAUAGCGAACAAGUACCGUGAGGGAAAGAUGAAAAGAACUUUGAAAAGAGAGUUAAAUAGUACGUGAAAUUGUCAAAAGGGAAGCGUUUAACACCAGUGUUGUUUUCUGAAAAUCAACCUCUGUUAGCUUUAUGCAUGUUUGUUUAGACCUAAUCAGCUAUCUUGCAUGUUCUAUUGUUUGCAGUGGUGCGCUUUUCAGUUUACAGGUCAACAUCAGUUUUUUUUACCGUAAAAAAGUUAAAGAAAGGUAGCUCAUGGCUCCGGUCGUGAGUGUUAUAGUCUUUUUCCUAUGCGGUAGGAGAGACUGAGGUCUGCAGUGUAGGCUAUUUGGCUAGAUACUCAGGUGCUAUGUGAUACCAUUUCAUAAACAACUUGUUGAUUAUGUUUUGUCUAUUGCAUACUCGCUUGUACUAUCAUACCUACGCUUAGGAUGUUGACGCAUGAGAUAUACGC
RNAcentral lists this ribosomal RNA (771 nucleotides) under uncultured Neocallimastigales. Its description in RNAcentral is "partial large subunit ribosomal RNA". It matches the Rfam family "Eukaryotic large subunit ribosomal RNA", at positions 22 to 645 of the family's 3401-position model. Lineage: Eukaryota; Fungi; Neocallimastigomycota; Neocallimastigomycetes; Neocallimastigales. The record is from RNAcentral.